GAUGAACGCUGGCGGCGUGCCUAAUACAUGCAAGUCGAGCGAACAGACGAGGAGCUUGCUCCUCUGACGUUAGCGGCGGACGGGUGAGUAACACGUGGAUAACCUGCCUAUAAGACUGGGAUAACUUCGGGAAACCGGAGCUAAUACCGGAUAAUAUAUUGAACCGCAUGGUUCAAUAGUGAAAGACGGUUUUGCUGUCACUUAUAGAUGGAUCCGCGCCGCAUUAGCUAGUUGGUAAGGUAACGGCUUACCAAGGCAACGAUGCGUAGCCGACCUGAGAGGGUGAUCGGCCACACUGGAACUGAGACACGGUCCAGACUCCUACGGGAGGCAGCAGUAGGGAAUCUUCCGCAAAGGGCGAAAGCUUGACGGAGCAACGCCGCGUGAGUGAUGAAGGUCUUCGGAUCGUAAAACUCUGUUAUUAGGGAAGAACAAAUGUGUAAGUAACUAUGCACGUCUUGACGGUACCUAAUCAGAAAGCCACGGCUAACUACGUG
RNAcentral lists this ribosomal RNA (497 nucleotides) under uncultured bacterium. RNAcentral's name for it is "partial 16S ribosomal RNA". It matches the Rfam family "Bacterial small subunit ribosomal RNA", at positions 28 to 507 of the family's 1533-position model. The record is from RNAcentral.